Molecule: long non-coding RNA, 319 nt
Filed under: Elaeis guineensis (African oil palm)
Lineage: Eukaryota; Viridiplantae; Streptophyta; Magnoliopsida; Arecales; Arecaceae
Description: long non-coding RNA (EGUI_LNC035478)
Source: RNAcentral
AGGGGCCAAUAUCUAAUUGAUUUUAAGUUAAGAUUUAGGUCAAUGCAAUAUGUAUGAUGGUGGUUUGUAAGUCAAGAAAGGAUGAUGAAUUUUUCAUCUUAUCUUGUUUAGGAUUUGUGCUUUAAGAUGUAUUAUAAAGAUGCUAUGCAAAGAAAACAAGAUGACCAAGCGAGUAGAAAAUUUUUUAAAGUUUAAUUAGUUUCUCUAUUUUAGUUAAGUAUUAUGUGGUGCUUUUAUUUUUUUUAUGUUAUGUUAUUUAAAGUAAGAAGAAAGCUUUUAAUAUAUAUUUCUUAUUAUAUUUUUUAUUUUUUUUAUGCUA